Molecule: ribosomal RNA, 446 nt
Filed under: uncultured bacterium
Lineage: Bacteria
Description: SSU rRNA
Rfam family: Bacterial small subunit ribosomal RNA
Source: RNAcentral
AGAGCGAACGCUGGCGGCAGGCCUAAAACAUGCAAGUCGAACGGAUCCUUCGGGAUUAGUGGCGGACGGGUGAGUAACACGUGGGAACGUGCCUUUUGGUUCGGAACAACUCAGGGAAACUUGAGCUAAUACCGAAUGUGCCCUUCGGGGGAAAGAUUUAUCGCCAUUAGAGCGGCCCGCGUCUGAUUAGCUAGUUGGUGAGGUAACGGCCCACCAAGGCGACGAUCAGUAGCUGGUCUGAGAGGAUGAUCAGCCACACUGGGACUGAGACACGGCCCAGACUCCUACGGGAGGCAGCAGUUAGGAAUCUUGCGCAAUGGGGGAAACCCUGACGCAGCCAUGCCGCGUGAAUGAUGAAGGUCUUAGGAUUGUAAAAUUCUUUCAGCGGGGACGAUAAUGACGGUACCCGCAGAAGAAGCUCCGGCUAACUUCGUGCCAGCAGCCGC